Peromyscus californicus insignis is the source of this 2116-nucleotide long non-coding RNA. RefSeq lists it as uncharacterized. The record is from RefSeq and is a predicted model, not a curated record. The transcript has 2 exons. Lineage: Eukaryota; Metazoa; Chordata; Mammalia; Rodentia; Cricetidae.
ACAGGUUCCUCGCCAGCCAGACCAGGGCUAUUUUAAAAGGCUAGCGCCUGUCCCCAGCCCUUAAGAUAAAGAUAGCCAGUCUGACUGCUCACUGUCUUCUCUGAAAAAGGACCAUUUCCCAAUUAUAGUGCCAGGCUUGGCUAGUAGGGCACUCGCGACUAGUCGGAGCUCCGUUAAGCACACAACCCUUGUACUAAAAGGGGAUCGUGUGUCGCCGGCUCACUUAGAGGAAGGCUCAUUUAAGAAAGAAUGUUUUAUUUUGCGGGGGAUGAAGGAAACGCACAACUCUGGGUUCUGUCGGCACAUUGCUGAACUGCAAGUCACGUGCCAGAUCCAGAAAUGAUGAAAACAUCUGUUUUUGCUUUAGCCCAGCGAGGCCCCGACGGUGGGGAGGGGCAGGGAAGGGACCGAGAUGGCUUUGCUCACGAGCGCCAUCUGCCGAGCCUACGCGGGAAACGCGUGUGUCCCGGGCACAAUGCAGGUUGCUCACCCCCGGGAAGGGACAGAUCAACAGGUGGGGGGGUCUGUGCCCGGGAGACCAUACUCUUCAGAGGACAACUCUGGCUGUGUCCCGGGAACUUUGCAACUCUGAAUUGUCUCAAAAUGUUCUCAACAAAAAGAUCUGUCCCUGGAGACUGCUCUAGGGCAGAGGAAGAGGCCGAGGGAGGCAGCGAAUGAAUUCCCAGGUUGGAAAGAAAAGAGGAGAGAGCAAGAAGCCUACCAAGGAAGGAGGAGCCCUUGCCAGCCAUAAUCUCCAGAGCCCCUGUCUUGAACUUCCAGCCUUCAAGUCUGAGAAACAAUGUGGUUUAAAAACCACCUACUUUGUAGCAUUGGGUUACAACCACCCAGCGACUGGAUUUGUUUGUUUUGCACGCUUAGCUGAAGCAAGGAGCCAGUAUCUGUCUGGAAGCCGGGCAAGAGCUGGUCCAAGUCCAUCAAGCUCCGGAGAAAGGACAUGUGUGAAGAUGAAGUGCCCUAUGGCAGAUGAGUGUGUAGCAGCAGGACCACAAAUUCUCGGGUGGCAAAGGACCAGGGACCAGGCACAAGGCCACAACCUGCUCUCUUGAGCACAGCCACUAUCCUUUGGCCACUUCCACUGUCACACUCCAGCCUUUGCAGACGAGCACGGUCUUCUUUUGAUCUGUUUUGUGCAUAUUGUCUGACUUCUCCAUCUUUCAAACAUUCGUGGGUGUUUCGGGGCUGAAGUCACUUCUCCUUUCCCAUUUUUCUGUUCAUCCUGUAUCAGACUAGUCUCCAUGCCUAUUGCAUCCUGAAAAUCAGGGACACCCGUGACUUCCUCCUCUGUGAGGAAGUGUAUCUCAACCCAGGGCUACAGGGGACUGAAGGAAGACACCCAUGGGUGACACCCAUAGUUGUAGCGGGUGAGAUGCACUGUUUUGUGUAUGUCAUGGUCUGCUGGCAUCCUCACCAUAGCCAGUGGGGUAGACGCUACCCCACCUGUGUUGACAGGGAGGAGACAAUAAUGGGUAACGUGUUAAGAGGCACACUAUCACGGGGCUCCUGAGCCAGGAUUCUUCCCCGGAGCCCAGACCCCAAACCUCACGAUUCCACAAGGGGACCAUGGAGAAGCACAGCAGACACACAGCUGAGCUCACGGCCCUCAUUCCUGAGCUUGCUCAGGUAUUGAACCAAUAGAUCCUCUUUUCUCUGGGCCCUGAGCACCUGUGUCCUCCCCAUUCCCACUCACCCUCUGACCUCUCCAAAGCAGAGUGUCCUAAGGCCUUUUAACUUCAGAAGAAUCUCCCAAAACAUAUGACUUUGAGAUCUCUAUCAUUCUGAAAUCUCUCUCCAGAUGUUGUGCCUGCCCCAUCCCAGUAACUGCAGUGUUAUUUAAACAAGCAAAGAACCAGGACAGCUAAAACAAUCUUAUACAAGAAAAAACUUCCAGAGGUAUUACUAUCCCUGAUUUUAAGCUGUAUUAUGAAGCUGUAGUAAUAAAAACUGCAUGGUAUUGACAUAAAAACACACAGGUUGAUUAAUGGAAUCAAAUCAGAGACACAGACACAAAUUCACACACUUUUGGAUACACCUGAUUUUUUAUUAAAAAAAAAAAGUCAGAAAUAUACAAUGGAAAAAUUAAAGCAUCUUCAACAAA